Molecule: long non-coding RNA, 575 nt
Organism: Myotis davidii
Lineage: Eukaryota; Metazoa; Chordata; Mammalia; Chiroptera; Vespertilionidae
Exons: 3
Source: RefSeq, a predicted model, not a curated record
CUGUACUUGGCAGAAGGGAAGCCUGGAAACUUUUUUAGAUUAGUAGUAAUGGCCCUAAAGAAGAAGUGGACAUCCCAUGGGGCAUCUGGAGGACAGAUGGCUGGGGCAGAGGGCACAGAUGUGAGCAACAGCUGACAGUGGCUGGCCAGGAGACCUCCAGGGUCCAGAGGACACAGGUGCUGGAAAGCCCAUGGGCCCACCUCAGCGUCUGAAUUUGUCUGUCUACAAGACCUUGCUGAUCCUCUCAGCACUCCCCAAUCCCUUUUCCUAGUUGAAGUCCCUCUCCUGGCUCCUAAGUCUACCCACAUUAUACAUGAACAUGAAGACCUCAAAGAAUGCUAGUCCUCCAACACUGUACACCGACGAAUCAAGGCUGGAAUAUGUCUGUGAUGUUCCCUGUUGCUUGCCUAGCACUUAACAGCGCCCACACAUGCCUGACACAGAGUAGACAUAAACGAAAGAACAAAAAAUUAAAAUAAGUUGAUAAUGUAGUAUUUACCCAAAUAGGAAACUUAGACAUAGUUUUAAUAUAGAUUGAAACAAAAAGAUGUUUCUAUUUAGCCAGCUUAUUAAAA